AUUGAACGCUGGCGGCAUGCUUUACACAUGCAAGUCGAACGGCAGCACGGGCUUCGGCCUGGUGGCGAGUGGCGAACGGGUGAGUAAUGCAUCGGAACGUGCCCAUUUGUGGGGGAUAACUACGCGAAAGCGUGGCUAAUACCGCAUACGCCCUGAGGGGGAAAGGACGGGGGAGUUCUUCGGAACCUCGCGCAAUUGGAGCGGCCGAUGUCAGAUUAGCUUGUUGGUGAGGUAAAGGCUCACCAAGGCGACGAUCUGUAGCGGGUCUGAGAGGAUGAUCCGCCACACUGGGACUGAGACACGGCCCAGACUCCUACGGGAGGCAGCAGUGGGGAAUUUUGGACAAUGGGGGCGAACCCUGAUCCAGCCAUGCCGCGUGAGUGAAGAAGGCCU
This 393-nucleotide ribosomal RNA is filed under the name uncultured bacterium. Its description in RNAcentral is "bacterial SSU rRNA". It matches the Rfam family "Bacterial small subunit ribosomal RNA", at positions 29 to 417 of the family's 1533-position model. The record is from RNAcentral.